This 254-nucleotide ribosomal RNA is filed under the name uncultured bacterium. RNAcentral describes it as "partial 16S ribosomal RNA". It matches the Rfam family "Bacterial small subunit ribosomal RNA", at positions 524 to 776 of the family's 1533-position model. The record is from RNAcentral.
CACGUAGGGCGCAAGCGUUUGUCCGGAAUUAUUGGGCGUAAAGAGCUCGUAGGCGGUCUGUUGCGUCCGCUGUGAAAACUCGGGGCUUAACCCCGAGCCUGCAGUGGAUACGGGCAGACUAGAGGUAGGUAGGGGAGAUCGGAAUUCCUGGUGUAGCGGUGAAAUGCGCAGAUAUCAGGAGGAACACCGGUGGCGAAGGCGGAUCUCUGGGCCUUACCUGACGCUCAGGUGCGAAAGCUAGGGGAGCGAACAGG